Molecule: non-coding RNA, 72 nt
Organism: Podarcis lilfordi (Lilford's wall lizard)
Lineage: Eukaryota; Metazoa; Chordata; Lepidosauria; Squamata; Lacertidae
Source: the annotation of a GenBank genome assembly
GCUGAGAUAGCUCAGUCAGUAGAGCAUGAGACUUGUGAUAACAGGGCUGUGGGUUCAAGCCCACAUUGGGCA